Molecule: ribosomal RNA, 573 nt
Filed under: Triticum aestivum (bread wheat)
Lineage: Eukaryota; Viridiplantae; Streptophyta; Magnoliopsida; Poales; Poaceae
Description: partial small subunit ribosomal RNA
Source: RNAcentral
AUGGAUAACCAAUCCAUUUUCCAAUAUAGUUGGGAGAUUUUACCCAAGAAAUGGGUACAUAAAAUGAAAAGAUCGGAACAUGGGAAUAGAUCUUAUACCAAUACUGACUACCCAUUUCCAUUGUUGUGCUUUCUAAAAUGGCAUACCUAUACAAGGGUUCAAGUUUCGAUCGAUAUUUGCGGAGUGGAUCAUCCCUCUCAAAAACGAAGAUUUGAAGUUGUCCAUAAUUUACUGAGUACUCGGUAUAACUCACGCAUUCAUGUACAAACAAGUGCAGACGAAGUAACACGAAUAUCUCCGGUAGUCAGUCUAUUUCCAUCAGCCGGCCGGUGGGAGCAAGAAGUAUGGGAUAUGUUUGGUGUUUCUUCCAUCAAUCAUCCGGAUUUACGCCGUAUAUCAACAGAUUAUGGUUUCGAGGGUCAUCCAUUACGAAAAGACUUUCCUCUGAGUGGAUAUGUGGAAGUACGCUAUGAUGAUCCAGGGAAACGUGUGGUUUCUGAACCCAUUGAAAUGACCCAAGAAUUUCGCUAUUUCGAUUUUGCUAGUCCUUGGGAACAGCGUAGCGACGGAUAA